This 75-nucleotide transfer RNA is filed under the name Deltaproteobacteria bacterium. Its description in RNAcentral is "tRNA-Val". It matches the Rfam family "tRNA". From Rfam's summary of the family: Transfer RNA (tRNA) molecules are approximately 80 nucleotides in length. Their secondary structure includes four short double-helical elements and three loops (D, anti-codon, and T loops). The record is from RNAcentral. Lineage: Bacteria; Pseudomonadati; Myxococcota; Myxococcia.
AGGCGCGUAGCUCAGGGGUAGAGCGCUACCUUGACACGGUAGAGGUCGGCGGUUCGAUACCGCCCGUGCCUACCA